AUGAACGCUGGCGGCGUGCCUAAUACAUGCAAGUCGAGCGAACAGAUAAGGAGCUUGCUCCUUUGACGUUAGCGGUGGACGGGUGAGUAACACGUGGGUAACCUACCUAUAAGACUGGAAUAACUCCGGGAAACCGGGGCUAAUGCCGGAUAACAUUUAGAACCGCAUGGUUCUAAAGUGAAAGAUGGUUUUGCUAUCACUUAUAGAUGGACCCGCGCCGUAUUAGCUAGUUGGUAAGGUAACGGCUUACCAAGGCAACGAUACGUAGCCGACCUGAGAGGGUGAUCGGCCACACUGGAACUGAGACACGGUCCAGACUCCUACGGGAGGCAGCAGUAGGGAAUCUUCCGCAAUGGGCGAAAGCCUGACGGAGCAACGCCGCGUGAGUGAUGAAGGUCUUCGGAUCGUAAAACUCUGUUAUUAGGGAAGAACAAAUGUGUAAGUAACUGUGCACGUCUUGACGGUACCUAAUCAGAAAGCCACGGCUAACUACGUG
RNAcentral lists this ribosomal RNA (496 nucleotides) under uncultured bacterium. Its description in RNAcentral is "partial 16S ribosomal RNA". It matches the Rfam family "Bacterial small subunit ribosomal RNA", at positions 29 to 507 of the family's 1533-position model. The record is from RNAcentral.